This 606-nucleotide ribosomal RNA is filed under the name Salmonella enterica. RNAcentral describes it as "partial 16S ribosomal RNA". It matches the Rfam family "Bacterial small subunit ribosomal RNA", at positions 108 to 710 of the family's 1533-position model. Lineage: Bacteria; Pseudomonadati; Pseudomonadota; Gammaproteobacteria; Enterobacterales; Enterobacteriaceae. RNAcentral also lists the same sequence under 1 other name. The record is from RNAcentral.
GAGUAAUGUCUGGGAAACUGCCUGAUGGAGGGGGAUAACUACUGGAAACGGUGGCUAAUACCGCAUAACGUCGCAAGACCAAAGAGGGGGACCUUCGGGCCUCUUGCCAUCAGAUGUGCCCAGAUGGGAUUAGCUUGUUGGUGAGGUAACGGCUCACCAAGGCGACGAUCCCUAGCUGGUCUGAGAGGAUGACCAGCCACACUGGAACUGAGACACGGUCCAGACUCCUACGGGAGGCAGCAGUGGGGAAUAUUGCACAAUGGGCGCAAGCCUGAUGCAGCCAUGCCGCGUGUAUGAAGAAGGCCUUCGGGUUGUAAAGUACUUUCAGCGGGGAGGAAGGUGUUGUGGUUAAUAACCGCAGCAAUUGACGUUACCCGCAGAAGAAGCACCGGCUAACUCCGUGCCAGCAGCCGCGGUAAUACGGAGGGUGCAAGCGUUAAUCGGAAUUACUGGGCGUAAAGCGCACGCAGGCGGUCUGUCAAGUCGGAUGUGAAAUCCCCGGGCUCAACCUGGGAACUGCAUUCGAAACUGGCAGGCUUGAGUCUUGUAGAGGGGGGUAGAAUUCCAGGUGUAGCGGUGAAAUGCGUAGAGAUCUGGAGGAAUACC